Oncorhynchus tshawytscha (Chinook salmon) is the source of this 351-nucleotide long non-coding RNA. Lineage: Eukaryota; Metazoa; Chordata; Actinopteri; Salmoniformes; Salmonidae. The record is from Ensembl.
GUGGUGGUGGUAGUAGCAGUAGUAGUGGUAUGGGUGGUAAUGAUAACAGUUUAGUGAUGGUGGUGGUGGUAUGGGUGGUAAUGAUAACAGUUUAGUGAUGGUGGUGGUGGUAGUAGUGGUAUGGGUGGUAAUGAUAACAGUUUAGUGAUGGUGGUGGUGGUAGUAGUGGUAUGGGUGGUAAUGAUAACAUGAUGGUGGUGGUGGUGGUAUGGGUGGUAAUGAUAACAGUUUAGUGAUGGUGGUGGUAAUAGUAGUGGUAUGGGUGGUAAUGAUAACAGUUUAGUGAUGGUGGUGGUGGUAGUAGUAGUGGUUUGGGUGGUAAUGAUAACAGUUUAGUGAUGGUGGUGGUGG